This 274-nucleotide ribosomal RNA is filed under the name Clonorchis sinensis. Its description in RNAcentral is "partial large subunit ribosomal RNA". It matches the Rfam family "Bacterial large subunit ribosomal RNA", at positions 2038 to 2603 of the family's 2925-position model. Lineage: Eukaryota; Metazoa; Platyhelminthes; Trematoda; Opisthorchiida; Opisthorchiidae. The record is from RNAcentral.
GAAAUUGGUUUUUUGGUGCAGAACCCAAAUAUAAUAAGUAAGACGGAAAGACCCCGAGAGCUUAGAUUUAUUUUUUACCUGGGGAGGGGGUAUAUAAUUCAUGUAUUUUUGGAUCCUUCCGGGAUUAUAGGAAUAAGUUACCUCGGGGAUAACUAGGUAAGAAGCAAGGAGAGGUCAUAUUGAUUUGCUUGGUUGCCAUCUCGAUGUUGCCUUGGGAUAGCAAGAAGGCGCAGCAGCUUUUUUGUUGGGUCUGUUCGACCAUAGUUUCCCAUGA